This 99-nucleotide ribosomal RNA is filed under the name Dipodomys ordii (Ord's kangaroo rat). Lineage: Eukaryota; Metazoa; Chordata; Mammalia; Rodentia; Heteromyidae. The record is from RNAcentral.
GUCUGUGACCAUACCAAUCUGAACAUGCCCUUUCUCAGCUGAUCUCAGAAGCUAAGCGGGGUUAGCCUGAUUUGUACUUGGAUGGGAGAGCUACAGACA